UCUUCUAUAGUACAGCGGUUAGUAUAUCCGCCUUUCAUGUAGAUCGCGGGAGAUCGGGGUUCGAUUCCCCGUGGGAGAA
RNAcentral lists this transfer RNA (79 nucleotides) under Kwoniella dejecticola CBS 10117. It matches the Rfam family "tRNA". From Rfam's summary of the family: Transfer RNA (tRNA) molecules are approximately 80 nucleotides in length. Their secondary structure includes four short double-helical elements and three loops (D, anti-codon, and T loops). Further hydrogen bonds mediate the characteristic L-shaped molecular structure. tRNAs have two regions of fundamental functional importance: the anti-codon, which is responsible for specific mRNA codon recognition, and the 3' end, to which the tRNAs corresponding amino acid is attached (by aminoacyl-tRNA synthetases). tRNAs cope with the degeneracy of the genetic code in two manners: having more than one tRNA (with a specific anti-codon) for a particular amino acid; and 'wobble' base-pairing, i.e. permitting non-standard base-pairing at the 3rd anti-codon position. The record is from Rfam by way of RNAcentral. Lineage: Eukaryota; Fungi; Basidiomycota; Tremellomycetes; Tremellales; Cryptococcaceae.